GAUGAACGCUGGCGGCGUGCCUAAUACAUGCAAGUCGAGCGAACAGACGAGGAGCUUGCUCCUCUGACGUUAGCGGCGGACGGGUGAGUAACACGUGGAUAACCUACCUAUAAGACUGGGAUAACUUCGGGAAACCGGAGCUAAUACCGGAUAAUAUAUUGAACCGCAUGGUUCAAUAGUGAAAGACGGUUUUGCUGUCACUUAUAGAUGGAUCCGCGCCGCAUUAGCUAGUUGGUAAGGUAACGGCUUACCAAGGCAACGAUGCGUAGCCGACCUGAGAGGGUGAUCGGCCACACUGGAACUGAGACACGGUCCAGACUCCUACGGGAGGCAGCAGUAGGGAAUCUUCAGCAAUGGGCGAAAGACUGACGGAGCAACGCCGCGUGAGUGAUGAAGGUCUUCGGAUCGUAAAACUCUGUUAUUAGGGAAGAACAAAUGUGUAAGUAACUAUGCACGUCUUGACGGUACCUAAUCAGAAAGCCACGGCUAACUACGUG
RNAcentral lists this ribosomal RNA (497 nucleotides) under uncultured bacterium. RNAcentral's name for it is "partial 16S ribosomal RNA". It matches the Rfam family "Bacterial small subunit ribosomal RNA", at positions 28 to 507 of the family's 1533-position model. The record is from RNAcentral.